UAGUAUGAGGCUGUCGGUCCGGUCCGGUGUGGCUGUUGCGAGGAUGAACAGCUCCUCUUGAUCAUUACCAAAAAAAAAGCUACCUUUAAAAGACGCAGUGUGUCGUCAUGUUUUUGUGUAGAUCAGAAGGUUGUGAUAGUUUGCUGGCGGACAGACUGCAUUAACGGUCGUGUGUUAACCGCGUUCAAGAAUUUCAGCCUGAACUUGAAAAAUAAAAACGGUCGUCGUGGUUUUACCCAACGACUCCCGUCAAGUUUCAUUUGUUUGUUUUGCCGUUGCUCGUUUCUAACGACAACUAAAGGAGCACGAAUGAUCGAGACGACGCUAAGAAGCGGAUGAAACGCGGACGUAAAUAAUUGGUGCUUGAAAUGGCGAAAAUCUAUAUCGGACUCAACCCAGAGAUGUAAUGUACGUCCACCUUUUAUCUGGUUCAGGGGCUUUGGACUACACUGACAAACAUGCGUGUUGCAGGACUACGCAGAGGCUGACCUCAGAUUUCACCUCUGUAAUUGAGGAGUCCUGUAGACACGUGCCCACGGGGGCCCAGGAGAGACCACCACCGCUGCAAGCUCACUGCUACCUCUGCGCCGGAGGAAUGGGGUGUCUGAAAAUAUGAUGUUGGCCGAUCAGAUCUUGCUAUGGUUUUCUGAUCAUUUCCCAGCUGUUGUGUUUUCUGUCAUGUUGUGCAAAUGCUGCUUAAUUGGCUUAAAUAUCUUCUACACAUAUACUAUGCCUUCACAAAUCCAUUUGGUCAUGUGUAUGUGGGCAUAUUUUUUAUUGAAUAUUAAUUAUUCUCUCUGUAUAUGUAAACUCGAGACCUUUUGCGAAAGAUUUAGACGCUGAUGGACAUUUCAGAUCUUAAACAUGUUGCUUUUUCUGUGGAAGUACAACUCUCAUUUGAUGAACUAGGCCACCAACUAGGAUGGAAAUGCUUUUUAAUCUGCGCCAGGCAUUUCUUGUUGUGUUUUUUAAUAAAUGUUUUGCUUCAUGGGAGUGUUAUGUUGUCUAUAUUGAGACA
Long non-coding RNA from Sinocyclocheilus anshuiensis, 1018 nucleotides. RefSeq lists it as uncharacterized. The transcript has 4 exons. The record is from RefSeq and is a predicted model, not a curated record. Lineage: Eukaryota; Metazoa; Chordata; Actinopteri; Cypriniformes; Cyprinidae.